Molecule: ribosomal RNA, 496 nt
Filed under: uncultured Rhodoferax sp.
Lineage: Bacteria; Pseudomonadati; Pseudomonadota; Betaproteobacteria; Burkholderiales; Comamonadaceae
Description: bacterial SSU rRNA
Rfam family: Bacterial small subunit ribosomal RNA
Source: RNAcentral
GCCCGCUCAGAAACUACAAAGGAAUUGACGGGGACCCGCACAAGCGGUGGAUGAUGUGGUUUAAUUCGAUGCAACGCGAAAAACCUUACCCACCUUUGACAUGUACGGAAGCCUUUAGAGAUAGAGGCGUGCUCGAAAGAGAGCCGUAACACAGGUGCUGCAUGGCUGUCGUCAGCUCGUGUCGUGAGAUGUUGGGUUAAGUCCCGCAACGAGCGCAACCCUUGUCAUUAGUUGCUACAUUCAGUUGGGCACUCUAAUGAGACUGCCGGUGACAAGCCGGAGGAAGGUGGGGAUGACGUCAAGUCCUCAUGGCCCUUAUAGGUGGGGCUACACACGUCAUACAAUGGCUGGUACAAAGGGUUGCCAACCCGCGAGGGGGAGCUAAUCCCAUAAAGCCAGUCGUAGUCCGGAUCGUAGUCUGCAACUCGACUACGUGAAGUCGGAAUCGCUAGUAAUCGUGGAUCGGAAUGUCACGGUGAAUACGUUCCCGGGUCUU